Molecule: non-coding RNA, 101 nt
Organism: Xylaria castorea
Lineage: Eukaryota; Fungi; Ascomycota; Sordariomycetes; Xylariales; Xylariaceae
Source: the annotation of a GenBank genome assembly
UCUCGAUUGGUCUAGUGGUAAGGAUACCUGCUUGUCAUUCAUUGAUUCAAGAAUCAUAGAGCAAGUCGCAGGUGGCCGGGGUUCGAUUCCCCGAUCGAGAG